UUGUAUAAUUCCGGAGCGUAUCUCCAUUCUGUUUGAUUGCAAACAGUGAUUCUGUGCCCUUCCUUACCCUUGUGUUUCCACAGUGUUGGGCGACGAACUUCUUUUUCAAGUCCUCGAAGUUCGUUAUGCUCCCUGGCUGAAGUUCGACGAACCACCUAUAUGUAGGUCCCUUCAGUGUUCCUGGGAAUGCUCUGCAGAGAAUGUCAUCCCUUGAUGUGGCCCACUGCAUUGCCCCUACGAACAUAUUUAUGUGGUCUGCUGGGUCCAUUUUCCCAUCGUAAACCUGGAGC
Molecule: long non-coding RNA, 290 nt
Filed under: Zostera marina
Lineage: Eukaryota; Viridiplantae; Streptophyta; Magnoliopsida; Alismatales; Zosteraceae
Description: long non-coding RNA (ZMAR_LNC000986)
Source: RNAcentral